This 520-nucleotide ribosomal RNA is filed under the name uncultured bacterium. RNAcentral's name for it is "bacterial SSU rRNA". It matches the Rfam family "Bacterial small subunit ribosomal RNA", at positions 777 to 1286 of the family's 1533-position model. The record is from RNAcentral.
AAUAGAUACCCCGGGUAGUCCACGCCGUAAACGAUGAUAACUAGCUGUCCGGGUGCAUGGCACUUGGGGUGGCGCAGCUAACGCAUUAAGUUAUCCGCCUGGGGAGUACGGUCGCAAGAUUAAAACUCAAAGGAAUUGACGGGGGGCCUGCACAAGCGGUGAAGCAUGUGGUUUAAUUCGAAGCAACGCGCAGAACCUUACCAGCGUUUGACAUCCUGAUCGCGGUUACCAGAGAUGGUUUCCUUCAGUUCGGCUGGAUCAGUGACAGGUGCUGCAUGGCUGUCGUCAGCUCGUGUCGUGAGAUGUUGGGUUAAGUCCCGCAACGAGCGCAACCCUCAUCCCUAGUUGCCAUCAUUCAGUUGGGCACUCUAAGGAAACUGCCGGUGAUAAGCCGGAGGAAGGUGGGGAUGACGUCAAGUCCUCAUGGCCCUUACGCGCUGGGCUACACACGUGCUACAAUGGCGGUGACGAGUGGGCAGCGAACCGGGGCGGACCGGUAGCUAACUCUCCAAAACGCCGU